AUUGAACGCUGGCGGCAUGCUUUACACAUGCAAGUCGAACGGCAGCGCGGGGCAACCUGGCGGCGAGUGGCGAACGGGUGAGUAAUAUAUCGGAACGUACCCAAGAGUGGGGGGUAACGUAGCGAAAGUUACGCUAAUACCGCAUACGAUCUAAGGAUGAAAGUGGGGGAUCGCAAGACCUCAUGCUCCUGGAGCGGCCGAUAUCUGAUUAGCUAGUUGGUGAGGUAAAGGCUCACCAAGGCUACGAUCAGUAGCUGGUCUGAGAGGACGACCAGCCACACUAGAACUGAGACACGGUCCAGACUCCUACGGGAGGCAGCAGUGGGGAAUUUUGGACAAUGGGCGCAAGCCUGAUCCAGCAAUGCCGCGUGAGUGAAGAAGGCCUUCGGGUUGUAUAGCUCUUUUGUCAGGGAAGAAACGGUCUCAGCUAAUAUCUGGGGCUAAUGACGGUACCUGAAGAAUAAGCACCGGCUAACUACGUGCCAGCCGCCGCCGUAA
This 498-nucleotide ribosomal RNA is filed under the name uncultured bacterium. Its description in RNAcentral is "partial 16S ribosomal RNA". It matches the Rfam family "Bacterial small subunit ribosomal RNA", at positions 30 to 523 of the family's 1533-position model. The record is from RNAcentral.